GGCUAACGCUGGCGGCGUGUCUUAGCCAUGCAAGUCGAGCGGACUUAUGGGGUAACUUAUAAGUCAGCGGCGGACGGCGGAGUAACACGUAGCUAACCUACCCUCUGGACGGGGAUAACCUACCGAAAGGUGGGCUAAUACCCGAUGUAGUCAUCCUGUAUAGGGGUGAUGAAAGGUGGGCUUCUGUUUACAAGCUCAUGCUGGAGGAGGGGGCUGCGGCCUAUCAGGUAGUUGGUAGGGUAAUAGCCUACCAAGCCGAUGACGGGUAGCCGGCCUGAGAGGGUGACCGGCCCGAGGGGCACUGAGAUACGGGUCCCACUCCUACGGGAGGCAGCAGGCUAGAAAUUUGGGCAAUGGGGGAAACCCUGACCCAGUGACGCCGCGUGCAGGAAGGAGCCCUUCGGGGUGUAAACUGCUGUCGUGUAGGGAGAAGGGUACUAAGGUGAACAAUCUUAGUACUUGACGGUACUACAGGAGGAAGCCCAGGCUAACCUCGUGCCAGCAGCCGACGGUAAAAUAGCGUACU
This 526-nucleotide ribosomal RNA is filed under the name uncultured bacterium. RNAcentral describes it as "bacterial SSU rRNA". It matches the Rfam family "Bacterial small subunit ribosomal RNA", at positions 28 to 531 of the family's 1533-position model. The record is from RNAcentral.